CGCGAUUCAGUUUGAUUCGUUUGAACAGUUCACUCACACACUGAAUCGUUUGCAGCAGAUUCGCACACCGAAAUACGUACCAGGAUGUUUUUAUAAGACAGAAAACAGAGCACUGAAUGAGUACCUCAGUGAGUCUUCUACACAAAUGAUCCUCCCAUCCAUCAUCUGGAGGCAUCUCAGGAAUAAACACCCAGUCAGCACCACACGCAAGAGCAGUAACCAGAGCCAGGCAUUUCUUUGAACACCCUUUUGGAGACCACCAUAGGAACUAGCACAAAGUCUAAGAGGCAGAUCACUA
Sinocyclocheilus anshuiensis is the source of this 298-nucleotide long non-coding RNA. RefSeq lists it as uncharacterized. The record is from RefSeq and is a predicted model, not a curated record. NCBI's taxonomy places the organism in Eukaryota, Metazoa, Chordata, Actinopteri, Cypriniformes, Cyprinidae. The transcript is spliced from 3 exons.